Molecule: non-coding RNA, 72 nt
Organism: Bos taurus (domestic cattle)
Lineage: Eukaryota; Metazoa; Chordata; Mammalia; Artiodactyla; Bovidae
Source: Rfam
UCUCUUCUGGCUCAGCUGGUAAAGAAUCUGCCUGCAAAGUGGGAGACCUGGGUUCGAUCCCUAGGUUGGGAA